CGAUAUAUGUGUUUACAGUUGAUACAGAGAAGUUCGUCGAUUGAUACGAGCAAAUAAUAGGACGUAAGGAAAUCGUAGUCGAUAAUAGUAAGGUUAUAGAUAUGUUAACUAACAAAUCACAAGAAGAAAAAGAAAGAGGAGAAGGGGAAGGAGAGUACGAAAGAGUCAUUUGAAAUUUGACGACGAAGAGUCCUGAUUAUACGAACGAGGCACGUUAGUCGUUCUUGGUCAUUCGCACAAACGAAACGAAAGAAGCGUGACGUUCAUUAGAGCAUUUAGAUGGAGUCAACAAAAUGAUUACGAGCUCGACACUUUCACCGCGAGCAGAGAACCGUAAAACGAUGACGUGGAUCCUUUUGCAAAGCUCCGUCGAGUUUCGUCGUUUCGAUCGUUCAUGUUACACCUGUGAGAACGUGGAUAUACGAAAAUUCAUAGGGGAAAAAAGGAAAAAAUAAAACCAAGGAAAAGAAAAGAAUAAAAAAAAAAAGAAGAGAAAAAGAAAAUUAUAAAUUGGCGAAAUGAAUUUUUAAUCGCAAAUAUAUAUUUGCGUGUGUGCGCAUUCGUGCGUGUGGUGUCUCAAUUAAAAAAAACCUUGAAUUCAUUCAUGAGAAUCGUAAGAGCUUCCUUAAAAUAAAUUAAAUAGAUACAUAGAUAGAUGGAUUUUCGAAACAGCUGAUCGACAAUGAAUAGAUCAUCUAUAAAUAAAUCUUUCAUAGGUUUAUAUUUUGGUGAGCAGCUCCCGAGCUAACGUAAGAUAUAACUUUUAUUUUUGGAGCAGAUUGUAAAAGACAGAUUUCUAGGUAUAUACAGGAUAUAUAUAUAUAUACGUACAUGUAUAUACGUAACAAUGGUUGCUUAGUCACACGACCGGGUUCUUUAAUGACGACAUUGAUGAUGAUGACGACGAUGAUAAUGCUGAUACGCGCUCGUACGACUCGCAUCGAUUAUCAAAUCAAGUGGAUUAGUGCAUAACACAAAGGAUGCUGGUUUGCGUGAGUCAAGCGGAUAUAACCGAAGAGUUACCAGGAGUGGGUCAUCGUUUAAACGUAAUAGGAAGAAGGGUGAUCAAGAGAAGAGAAGAGAAGAGAAGAGGGACGGACGAACGGAUUCGCUUAUUCGAUUUUAUCCCGUCUCAUCUGGAAGCAACUUGUUGUUUCGUCAUACCUACCGAUAGAUCGAAAGCGACUAGCUCUAAACCGGUUAGAAGUUUCUUUAUCGUCAAGUCCUACGCUAACAAUGUUUCACUUGCAUACAUAUGCAUCUAUAUAUAUGCACAUAUACGUGAUUGAUUUUUCAAUUAAUCCGUGAUUGCUUAUCGAUUUAUAAUCGGUU
Vespa mandarinia (Asian giant hornet) is the source of this 1332-nucleotide long non-coding RNA. Lineage: Eukaryota; Metazoa; Arthropoda; Insecta; Hymenoptera; Vespidae. The record is from RefSeq and is a predicted model, not a curated record.